Molecule: ribosomal RNA, 253 nt
Filed under: uncultured bacterium
Lineage: Bacteria
Description: partial 16S ribosomal RNA
Rfam family: Bacterial small subunit ribosomal RNA
Source: RNAcentral
UACGAAGGGGGCUAGCGUUGCUCGGAAUUACUGGGCGUAAAGGGCGCGUAGGCGGCCAGUUUAGUCAGAGGUGAAAGCCCAGGGCUCAACCUUGGAAUUGCCUUUGAUACUGGCUGUCUUGAGUACGGGAGAGGUGAGUGGAACUCCGAGUGUAGAGGUGAAAUUCGUAGAUAUUCGGAAGAACACCAGUGGCGAAGGCGACUCACUGGCCCGUUACUGACGCUGAGGCGCGAAAGCGUGGGGAGCAAACAGG